This 484-nucleotide ribosomal RNA is filed under the name uncultured bacterium. Its description in RNAcentral is "partial 16S ribosomal RNA". It matches the Rfam family "Bacterial small subunit ribosomal RNA", at positions 30 to 507 of the family's 1533-position model. The record is from RNAcentral.
AUUGAACGCUGGCAGCAGGCCUAACACAUGCAAGUCGAGCGGAUGAAGGGGGCUUGCUCCUGGAUUCAGCGGCGGACGGGUGAGUAAUGCCUAGGAAUCUGCCUGGUAGUGGGGGAUAACGUCCGGAAACGGGCGCUAAUACCGCAUACGUCCUGAGGGAGAAAGUGGGGGAUCUUCGGACCUCACGCUAUCAGAUGAGCCUAGGUCGGAUUAGCUAGUUGGUGGGGUAAAGGCCUACCAAGGCGACGAUCCGUAACUGGUCUGAGAGGAUGAUCAGUCACACUGGAACUGAGACACGGUCCAGACUCCUACGGGAGGCAGCAGUGGGGAAUAUUGGACAAUGGGCGAAAGCCUGAUCCAGCCAUGCCGCGUGUGUGAAGAAGGUCUUCGGAUUGUAAAGCACUUUAAGUUGGGAGGAAGGGCAGUAAGUUAAUACCUUGCUGUUUUGACGUUACCAACAGAAUAAGCACCGGCUAACUUCGUG